Molecule: RNA transcript, 3487 nt
Organism: Stomoxys calcitrans (stable fly)
Lineage: Eukaryota; Metazoa; Arthropoda; Insecta; Diptera; Muscidae
Gene name: X-linked retinitis pigmentosa GTPase regulator
Exons: 7
Source: RefSeq, a predicted model, not a curated record
AACAAAAUAGAAGAAUUCAAUUGAAUGACCGAGUGUUAAAUUAUUCAAGAAGUAAUUUAACUAUUGCGUAAAAUGUCAAGAGGCUAAGUGUUUUUAUUGUUGUUGCUACAUUUCAAAAGCAAUAGAAAAAGGAUACAAGUGGUGCCCAUCAAGAGAACAGCAAAUUGGACCCAAGGAAAGAGAACACUUUAAAACAUGGAUAUACCCAACACCGGAGCCAUUUUCACCUUGGGGAAAUCCUACUUGGCCGAAAAUACCCAAAGUUAUUUCUACAUAAAAAACGAUCCCAUAAAAAGGCUCAUCGCUGGUCCCUAUCAAAGUGCAGUGAUUUGUGAAUCAGGACGUUUAUUUGUAUGGGGUGAAAAUCACUAUGGACAACUGGGCAUAGGAGGUCACUUGUCCAAUGGCAGCAACCAACACAACAAUAAUAACAACAACAACAAUGGUGAUAUAAUUACAAAGCCGACAUGCGUAAAGUCUUUGAAAGUAUUGGGCCUGAAAGUGGCGGACAUAGCCUACGGCCACGAUUGGUCGGUGAUUUUGACAUUCUCCAAUGAGCUGUUCUUUACGGGCCGCAAUAUAUUCUCCAGCGAGAGCCCAGUCUCAUCCAAUUUCACCGAAGCAACAGUCAACGAGGAGCCAUGUGAAAUUAUACGCAAACCCUUCCGUUUGGAAGAGUUCGAUGACUGCUUGGCCGACAACGAGGAGGCCGAAAACUUUGUCAGUGUUCUGGCCGGCAAUGAACAUUUCGUUGUAUUGACCUCUUUUGGACGCCUUAUAGGCUGGGGCUCAAACCAAGCCAAUCAAUUGGGCAGCUCCGAUGAGGCUCUCUUGGCACCACAUGAAAUAGUUUUGGACUCUCCCAUACGGCAGUUUGCUUGUGGCCCCAAAUCAACGCUUGUGCUAACCGAAAAGGGAAACCUUUAUCUGACGGGUCAUUUAAAUGAAUUUGUGUUUACACAAUUCACCGAACUGCAGAAGAAUCUCUCGCCCAAUGAGCAGAUUGUGUUCGUCCACAUAUCGCAUGCGAGUGAAAUUUUCAUUGUUACCAAUGGUGGCAGCAUUUAUCGUAGCCUAGAGUCGCUGCGUAACAAAAGUCUCAUCUUUCAAAGGUUCUACGACUAUGACAGCGAAGAGAAUGGACCCAUUUGGAAAUUGCUCAAGGGCACCUCAUUCUAUGCGGUGCUCACCAAAGUGAAUAAGUUCUACACCACCUUCUCGGAGAGUGGCCAUCACUUGAAAACUUUUCGAGAAAUUUCAAAGUUCAAAAAUCUUCGCCUAUUGGAUAUGGCUUUGGGUGAUCAACAUGUACUGGUCCAUGGUUUGCCCAGAUCAUCGGCAUUGGCGGCCAGCAUGGGUCCUGCUGCAGAACACCUCCGAGUAAUGUCUCAAAGUACGAUAAUGGCCAAUACCACAGGUGGUCUAAUGGGUAGAAUGAAAAAUACCGCGACCACCUCGUUAGCAGAGGCAAAUCAAAAGAGCCCCCAGAUGAGUAGUGCAUUCAUGGAAGCCAUUCCUGAACGGCCAAAGACCAACACACCGGUACAUGAAACAAUAAGUGAGGGGGUGGAAGAUGUAGGAGAAACAGACGGCACACCCCAAAACGGAACUACAGACUCCAAUAAUAAUUUGGAGGAAGGGGGGAGCAACAAUAACCACAACCAUAAUAGUGCAGCCGCAGAUGCAGAUGCGCACCUAGAAAGUGAUCAUCUUGACAACUCUUCAAGCCGCGGAAAAUCACCUACGGAGUCCCUUAAGUCGCGCAAAAGCGUGAUUUCCUUGAAGAAAUCGCAAAACAACUCCCUGCGUCCACGCACUCCAUACCCAGAGGGCAGUAGUGCAAGUAGUUCUCCACAGACGGCAAUUAAAAAGACCCCAGUGCAAGACUCCUCCUACGCAAAAGCCCUUAACGAGGACAACAUCGACCAUACGUCGCCUAGGUUGGUGGGAAGUCUGGAAAAUAUCCCUGAAUCCAUUGUGGCUAAACCUGGACUAAGUGUAUCAACGCCCACACCACCCACCGAAGAUGACGAACAACUAACCGUGGAGAUUAGAGAGACCACUGACCCAUUGGACCACACUGUGACAAUUAACGAAAUACGUUUCAUCAACAACGGCAUUGAUGUCACGGCAAAUGUUAAAAAAGACCGACUGGACUCAGAAGACUCUGCAGACGAAACCGAUGACGAGGAGGACAGCAAAUCUACCAUCAGAAAACAGGCUGAAGAUUUCAUCGAGCAUGUGGGCGAUGAAGUAGAUGAGACAGUUGAAAAGGUUCAAGCCACUAAGGCGGAAGCCGAAGAGGCAGUCAAAGAAAAAGCCAAUACUAUUGGCGAAAAAGUCGGCUCUAAAUUUACCGAAGCCAAGGAGUCACUGGAAAGUGCGGCCAAAGGAGCGGGCGAAUCGGUUGAGACCAAAUUCGCUGGAGCCAAAGACACCGUAGAGUCGGCAGCCAUGAAAGCUGCCUCAGGGGCCAUGGGAGCCGUAGAGGCUGUUACUGAAAACGCUAAAAAAGCAGCCAAGGGUGCCAAGCAUACCAUGGAGAAUGUGGGUAACACGGCUGCAAAGGCCACAGAUGACGCCCGCCAAGCCCUGGAAACAAUGGGUAGCAAUGCUGCCAAGGCCACAGGCGAAGCCAAGGAUUCCAUGGGCAAUGCCCUGCGCAAAAUGGCCGGAGAUACUCGUCAUGCUGUGGGCGCUGUCACAUCGAAAAUCUCUCACGAAGUUCAAGAUGCUAAAAAUAGCCUGAGUUCCCUACUACAGGGCAAAAAACACAACAAAGUGGAUGUUGAAAUUGUGCCGCCCCCUGACAAUGGGCUAGACGCAAUCGAGGAACUCAAUGCGGAAAUCAGUGCCAAAGACAGUGGUGGCAGUAAAACACUUCCCACAUCCCAAUCAACCAACACACCUGGUGGCGCUCAAGAAGACGACGAACGAACCACAGCUUCAGUGAAUUCAGCACACACUUCGGCCGGCAAUCCCUUCGAAAAUAAUAAUCCCUUCGAGGGCAACAACCCCUUUGACCAGGAUGCCACAGUUCCAUUCGAUCCCGAACUAGAUGCCAUGAUCGAACGUAGUAAGAAGGCAUUCCAGGAGGAUAUGGAGGCCGCCAGUAUGGCCACAGAGAAUCGCCUGGGGCAUGUCGAGGAAGUGGUGGUUGAGGAAAAGAGUAAAUUUUCCAAAUUUUUCCAAGAUAUGCGAGAGAAAUCGAAGAAUUUAUCCUGUCGCAAUGAGAAAGCUGUACAAAUUAUCGAAGAUCAAUCCUAGAUGCGGAGAGAAUGAAUUGAUGGGGAACAAUUAAACUUCAUCUUCCUUAAGACAUGGAAACUAUGACUUUGUUUGGAUUGUGGAAUCAACCUCCGCCCCCUCGCUACUCUGAACAAGAUGAAUUGGCCCUGCAGCCGGCAAAUAUGCGCCCGGAAAAUGGCUCCAAAAUAUGCACCAUAUUAUAAUUGGGUUUUUAGCAAUAAAAAAAAACUAACUUCGU